Molecule: small nucleolar RNA, 134 nt
Filed under: Pogona vitticeps (central bearded dragon)
Lineage: Eukaryota; Metazoa; Chordata; Lepidosauria; Squamata; Agamidae
Description: Small nucleolar RNA SNORA55 (ENSPVIG00000016188.1)
Rfam family: Small nucleolar RNA SNORA55
About the family: ACA55 is a member of the H/ACA class of snoRNA that guide the sites of modification of uridines to pseudouridines.
Source: Rfam by way of RNAcentral
GCAUCGGAAUCUUUCCUGGUCCUUGCUGUGAGGUGCAGGCCCAGGGACACAGGAUGCUAAAGAAACGCUGAGCAAAUCCAGGCAGGUUUUAUGUUCCUCUAUGCAAGACUUGUCUCUACGCCUCUGCAACAUGA